Capsicum annuum is the source of this 160-nucleotide non-coding RNA. Lineage: Eukaryota; Viridiplantae; Streptophyta; Magnoliopsida; Solanales; Solanaceae. The record is from Rfam.
AUACUUACCUGGACGGGGUCCAUGGGAGAUCAACAAGGUACAUGGCCUAGGUUGGUGACCUCCAUUGCACUUUCAAUGGGUGCCAGCCUAAGGUCGGCCCAAGUGGCUGAGCCUACGUCAUAAUAUGUGGCAGCGGGGGCCUGCGUUCGCGCAGCCCAUA